CAACAAUGACCUUCUUAUUCUCAACUAUGCUUCUAAACGCUACCCCAAAAUGUGAAGGCCCUGCCUCGACUAUGCUUCUAAAGGCUAAAUCAAUCAAACAUGAAGAAGAAAAUACCCUUUUCAUUUGAGAGGAUUUCAAAAAGCCCAUGUUUAGCCCAAAUUUUAGAAGCAAUAGUUUUCAGAGCCAUACACGGGAGUUUCUUAUCCAGAAAUCCAACCGCACAAUUCUCCAAGUACAACACCAUAAUCUUCC
RNAcentral lists this long non-coding RNA (253 nucleotides) under Actinidia chinensis (golden kiwifruit). Its description in RNAcentral is "long non-coding RNA (ACHI_LNC005926)". The record is from RNAcentral. Lineage: Eukaryota; Viridiplantae; Streptophyta; Magnoliopsida; Ericales; Actinidiaceae.